AUGGCAACAAUGGUCAGAGGCGUAAGGAUGCCUGCUGCUGCACGGUCGUCGUCGGCGGGGAGGAACAAGAAGCUCCGGAAGACGUACACGAUCACGAGGCCGCGGGAGAGGUGGACCGACGAGGAGCACGAGCGAUUCCUCCACGCCCUGCACAUAUUCGGCCGUGACUGGAAGAGCAUCGAGGCCUUGGUGGCGACCAAGACGAGCGUGCAGAUCCGCAGCCACGCCCAGAAGCACUUCCUCAAGGCCCAGAAGCUCGGCCUCGGGGCGUGUCUGCCGCCGCCGCUUCACCCUCGCCGCGGCGCGGCCCUCGGCCAGCAGCCGCCGGCCCACCCUGACGCCGACAUGCUGGAGCCGAGCAUGGACUGGGCAUGCGCCGCGCCUGAAUCCCGUUGGCCGGACCUCGACGCACCGGGCGCCGAAGAGUGGCCGUCCGCCGGUGCCCUGCACCUGCAGGACGAAACCGUUGAGCUCCCACUGUCUCCCCACGACCUGCGCUUCGCUCUGGUCUACCGGUUCGUCGGCGACGUCUUCGCCUCCGACGCGGCUGUCCCGGUCGAUGCGCAACUCCACAGGCUUCAACUGCAGGGCGUCGACCCCGUCGUCGUGGACACGAUCUUGCUGGUAUUAAGGAAUCUGGAAGCGAACCUGUGUGCCUAG
This 660-nucleotide ribosomal RNA is filed under the name Triticum aestivum (bread wheat). Its description in RNAcentral is "partial small subunit ribosomal RNA". Lineage: Eukaryota; Viridiplantae; Streptophyta; Magnoliopsida; Poales; Poaceae. The record is from RNAcentral.